RNAcentral lists this transfer RNA (73 nucleotides) under Candidatus Eiseniibacteriota bacterium. Its description in RNAcentral is "tRNA-His". It matches the Rfam family "tRNA". Rfam says of the family: Transfer RNA (tRNA) molecules are approximately 80 nucleotides in length. Their secondary structure includes four short double-helical elements and three loops (D, anti-codon, and T loops). Further hydrogen bonds mediate the characteristic L-shaped molecular structure. tRNAs have two regions of fundamental functional importance: the anti-codon, which is responsible for specific mRNA codon recognition, and the 3' end, to which the tRNAs corresponding amino acid is attached (by aminoacyl-tRNA synthetases). tRNAs cope with the degeneracy of the genetic code in two manners: having more than one tRNA (with a specific anti-codon) for a particular amino acid; and 'wobble' base-pairing, i.e. permitting non-standard base-pairing at the 3rd anti-codon position. Lineage: Bacteria; Candidatus Eiseniibacteriota. The record is from RNAcentral.
CCUUGGUUAGCUCAAUUGGUAGAGCAAUCGGCUAUGGACCGGUGAGUACCGGGUUCGAAUCCCGGACCAAGAC